CCUACGGGAGGCAGCAGUGAGGAAUAUUGGUCAAUGGGCGGGAGCCUGAACCAGCCAAGUCGCGUGAGGGAAGACGGUCCUAUGGAUUGUAAACCUCUUUAGGCGGGGAGCAAUGCCGGGCACGUGUGCCCGGAGGGAGAGUACCCGCAGAAUAAGCAUCGGCUAACUCCGUGCCAGCAGCCGCGGUAAUACGGAGGAUGCGAGCGUUAUCCGGAUUUAGUGGGUUUAAAGGGUGCGUAGGCGGGUUUUUAAGUCAGCGGUAAAAUGUCCGGGCUCAACCCGGGCCGGCCGUUGAAACUGGGGAUCUUGAGUGGGCGAGAAGUAUGCGGAAUGCGUGGUGUAGCGGUGAAAUGCAUAGAUAUCACGCAGAACUCCGAUUGCGAAGGCAGCAUACCGGCGCCCGACUGACGCUGAGGCACGAAAGCGUGGGGAUCGAACAGGAUUAGAUACCCGAGUAGUC
Molecule: ribosomal RNA, 460 nt
Filed under: uncultured bacterium
Lineage: Bacteria
Description: partial 16S ribosomal RNA
Rfam family: Bacterial small subunit ribosomal RNA
Source: RNAcentral